UUCGAAGCAGUGUUUUGAAAUCACCCAUCACUAGAUAUUGUUGAAAAGUCGUUAUUUUGGUUUUUUUUGGUGCACAAAAAAGUAUUCUCGUUGCUUUAUAAUAUUAAGGUAGAACCACUGUAGUCACAUGAACUGCUUUAAAUAUGUUUUUAGUACCUUAUCUGGGCAUUUGAAAGUGUAAAUAAUCUUGCACUGAGCCAUCGGAUUUCAUCAAAAAUAUCUUAAUUUGUGUUCUGAAGAUGAACAAAGGUCUUACGGGUGUAGAACGACAUGAGGCUUGCUUUCUUUGGCAACAACACAAAUGCUCCAUUGAACAGGAGCAGGAGGACUUACUAAAUCAAGCGUAUCAUUGAGGGAGGCGACAUGUAAUGAUUCCAAUUACAAUCUGUGGCUCUAAAGUCUGCAUCAAUGCACUCUGGGGAAAUGAGCCAUCUCUCUUACUUGGCAAACAGCAGGUCAGUGAAUUAUGUUGAGAACACAAGACACACAUCCCCUGCCUGUUUUGACUUUCCCUUCUACUCUUGAAUAAACUUCCAACAAAGAUGAAUGAACUAAAGAAAGAAAAAGGUUGUGACCCUCGCAGGUGCAGUGUCGACAGGGAGGGCUCUAUUUUGGAGAGUAUACACUGACCCUUCAUGCACCUCACCCCUCAAAACAACUGUGAACAUGUGGAAUCUGACAAAGAGAGAGAGAAUGUGAACCAGCAUAAUCUCACUCAGAUAGUUCAGGGGAUCUGGUUUUGACAGGCUAGGGUCUGAUUCUAACCCACUGAAGCUAGUCAUGUGCAAACAAAGCAUGCUGUUAUGCAUUCCCAAACUGAAUAUGUGAUGAUAUAUAGUAAUACUAUGAAAUGAGAUGAGUUGCACAAGGCUCAUUUCAUAGUCUAACUCAUAGUUGGAGACAAGAGAAAGUUCAGAUUAAAUAGAUCCCUUGUGAAAAAGAAGUGCACUUAAUUGUAUUGAAUAUGCACUUGUAGUGUAUUUCAAAUCUUAAAAGUAUAUAUAUUUUUUUUAAAUUAGGUAGCUAACGCUAAAGUGUCCUUGUUACAUGUUACAAGGGAUAGUUAACCUAAAACAAUUCUUGAUGUAUGUUUUAUGCUCCUGAAUAAAACAUCAGAAAAAUACUUCAGAAAAUGAAAGGGACAAAAAGAGAGGGGCUGUUCUGGAACUUUCUGACAAAGAAAAGUGGAGAGCACCUCUUCAUUAUUUACGAAGGGAGCGCUGCAUUCCGAUACCUGAGCCGGUAGAAAGAUAUCUCCAGGGAUAUCACUGUUUCUGUACCUCCCUCGGCCUCCUCUUGUCUUCCCACAAAUAAUUUCUACCAUAGUGAGGUCAAGUUCCACGUUCAUGUGAAAUAUGCAGUUGUAGUGUCCCAACGGAGAAAGAAUAUACUGUACACGCCACAAUCUGACGUCACAGUAUAACAUCAUAUAAACAUCACGUGACAACAACCCUGGGGGUUUGAAAAGCAAACACACAUACAGUCACAUUGCGCACCAACUGAAAUGGGCCUUUUAUGCUUUAUGAAAACAUUCUCCGUUUAAACUCCAGAACUUGACAUCACAGUGCCUGAGGUGCAGUGGAUGAAUUAGCAGAAUAAAACAGUAUGGAUUCACUUCGUCACGCAGUGGUCUUUGACUCUCAUGUGCUUACAAUCUCGUCCCAUCUGAACACUAAAUUGAGACUUCAAUGAAUGGAAAUACUCCAUUUGAGACUUUCAGGAUGCUCAGAGGAACUCUUUAGGAGACUUGUUUUUUACACUGUUACGUACAUAGGCCACGUUUACAUACAGUAUAGUUCAAGUGACCCAAUUCCGAUUUUUUCCUCCGAUGUGGCACAGAUCGGAUACAUGUAAGCAGGAAAAAAGCAUAUGGAUUCCAAUUUUCUUAGAGCAGUUUCAGUCCUCAUUCAUAUGUGGAAAUAAUUGUGAUAUGAAUCAGAUAGAUGCAUUGCAUCUGCCAUGCAAUAGGACAGAUCGGAUAUUCCCGUCAAUGCGAGUCAUACGUCAUUAAAAAAGUGACUGUGGCUAACAAUGUCAACUCAGGUGGACACCAACCAUGAUCACAUGACUCUUUUCAAUGGUGCAAUGGAGGAAGAAGGCUCAACCCAAUGUUUUGCUGACCUUUAAAGAUGGCCCACUGCAAAUCAUGACAUUUUUACUUCCUUUUUGGCCUUAGCUUUUUCGGGUCAGUACAUCUACCUUGGGUUGUUUCACCAAGUGUAUAGUGUAAAUGCAUAUAUCGGAUAUAGGUCACUUUCAAAAGAAGAUGUAAGCUGGUCAUUUAAAAAAUUUUUGAUAUAGUCAACAAAUGGGCAUCAAAACCUGCAGUGUAAAUGCGGCCAUACAGAUCUGUGUCCAAAGUUCUUCAUGGUGUGUAUUAUGUGAUAGAAAGAGGCCAUAAGAAAACAAAUUAGUAAAAAUCAUAUUAACAUCAAUCAUAAAGCACAUUAAUAUACUGUAUUACCAUCUCCAACAUUUUAAAUACCAAAGGUAGAGUAGCAAAACAGCCCAUUUCACUAUAAAGGCGUGCAGGCCUGGCAAAGCAUUAGUCACAUUCCUCACUCCCCCACACAAUGUUGGCUGGCAUAAAAAAAAUGAUAACAAUGUUAUUGAAUAGUGUGAUAAAUAUGCAGACCUAUCCAGCUGUAUGUGAUUAUUGCUGUAGCAUGCUGAAAAAUUAUAUUAUAGUGUUGCAUGAACAAGAAAAUCUGGUCUGUGACGUGACAUUGUUUUGUCUAUUCUCUCAAAUAUUCAAAUUACACCACUGACAAAUGCCAUCUAGAUUUUCUGAAGAAAAUGUCAGAGAUGUUUGCAUGUGCAAAACUCACCACUAGAAUGUUGGUAAUCCCUAGGGCACAUUUGUCAAACCCUUCUUUUGACACAUGUGCUUUCUUAGUACAGCUAUGCCAUUUCUAUGCUGUUUCUAAUGUGUUUAGAAACUAGAGCUGCACGAUAAAUUGAGAAUCACAUUUUUUUAGUUUCAAAUAUAGAGAUCACGAUUCUUCCACAAUUCUGAACAGACAACUAAACAAAAUAACACGUAAUUUACUAGAGGUUCUGACAAAAUGUUAAUUGCUGUAGUCUAUUUAAAAAUGAUUAAUUUAAAUGAAUUAUUAUAAAAAUCGUACUGAAUGAAUGAUUCAAUGACUCACUCAUAAAUACUUCACGUGCUUCAUUACUGGAUGAAUCAGCAUUUUUGUACGAAUCUCUUGAACGAAUGAUUCAAUGACGAAUACAUUUUUAACAGUCACUUGUCACCACCUAGUGGCGUAAAGAUUGAUACAAUCUUUAUUUGAAGCACCAAAUUACUCUCAAAAGGGGAUUUACUCUAUUUUGAUCACUUCCAUAGACAUCAGUGUUUAUAUCUGAACUAUAAACUUUUAUCCAGUACUUCUGUGAUAAAAUGAAUAUUUGUAACACAGAAAUAACGAUACUGUGUGUUUCAUACAUGACAGCUACUCUUUCUGGAUCAGCGGCAGCACCAACGCAGAUCUGAAUGUUCGCUGUGAUCGUACUUGUCAACGGUUUAAUAGACACAGGCGAAUCGCUGUCAUUUAGGAAUAAGGUCGCGUGGAUGUUUGAAUCGAGAUUGCGAUCUUUUAACAAUUAAUCAUGCAGCUCUAUCAGAGACUAUUUGAGUGUUGAUAGAUGGUUGUCAGGGUGCUGAUAUGUGGUGAAUAAGGUGUUCAGGAUGGGAAUCACAGUUGCUAAAGUGCCAUGAAUGAUUGCUAGGUUUUGCUAAGGUAUUUUGGGUUGUUUCUAGUGCUAUGUGGUUGCUAAAAUAUUCAGAGUAUUGAUAGGUGGUGGGUAGGGUGCUCCGAUUGGUUGCUAGGCAGUUGCUAAACUUUUCUUUGUUGUUGCACUGCUAUGUGGUUGAUAUGUUUGAGAUGGUUCCAAGGGCCUUGGUUUCUAUUCCGGUUUCUAUACUUGGUUUCUAUUCCGUUCCUAUGCAGUUGUCUGUUAGGGUGUUGUUAGAUGGUUGCUGGGCAUUGCCAUGCAGUUGCUAAGGUGUUCUUGGUUGUUGUCAGGUCACUGCUAUGUGGUUGCUAAUGUGUUUUAAGUGGUUGCUAGGACCUUGUUGGUUACUACGCCAUUUCCAUGUGGUUGCUAAGGUGUUCUGAGUGAAAAUUAGGUUGUUGAUAGAUGGUGGCAAUGGUUUUGCUAAGGUAAUCAGGAUGGUUGUUAGGUUGCUAAGGACUUGAUGUUCCAUGUUGUCCUUCAGAAUGGGUGCAGGCCAGGGACAAAGUGUCCCUCAGCCUUUUUUAUUCCAUUUCAUUUCAUAUUUUAGUCUCUUCACCUGGUAACCUUUCACAGCUCAUCAUAUAUUUCCCACAUCUGUCCAGCUGUAUUACAGUAUGACUAUGGAUUACUGUUUCACUCUCAGACCCAUCAUUUAAUUCGGUUGACCCAUCAUAUAAUUCGGUUACCACUGACAGAAGCACAGCUCUAAAUGAAAGCUUAUGUAAAUUCUUAGGCCUGAUUAUCCCUUGCAGUAAGUUUUUAUUUGAACAGAUUGUCCGGCCUGCUGCUUUUGCUGGAAGCAAAGCACAUGCUCCCAACUGUAUUUCAUUACGUUAUGGCAUGAUGUCGUCAUAUGUGAGGGAUUACAGCCUUCCAGACUAGAGUAUGAUUAUGAAAUGUCAUUCAGCAAUCAUCAAAAAUCUGUCUUUGCACUUUACAUAAAGGUGUGAGUGCCCUGAUUAUGAGCCGUCAGUGGACAAUUAAAUUUAAAUGAGAUAUCUUUGGGAUACAUUUGGGCAGUGGCGCUAUAGAAAUUGAGUCUCUCUGACCCUCAAGAGACCCUCGAUUUCCCUAUUGCUACACUGUUGUCUAUGGCUGUUUAUUGUAUAAUCCAGUUUCAAAUCUGUUUUAAUUUGUCGCCUAAGUCUUUUGAUUACAGUUACCUUGUAGUUUUCUGCAAAAACUCCCAAUACCAUUGACGUCAGAUGUUGCUGUUACAUAAAUGUGCGGCUUGGGACUACAAGACAUUUUAUCCACUGCUUUUGCAGUGCAUUUGCCUCAAAAUCAGCUAUGUUGCCUUGGGGUCUCUCCAGCACAGCUCAGUGACGUUGUUGUUCUCUAGUUUUUCUUUUUCAUUCCCGCUCUCUUCAUGUCCUUCUGUCUCUUCCCAUAUUCGCUGUAACUCUGGGGCUUCAGGUUAAGAUGAGUUAAAUUCAGUGGUUGCGUAAGCUGGAUGUGAGAGACAUCUCUGUUAGUUUGCCCUGGGCUCUUUUUUGACUGUAUAAUGGAGACAUUAGAACAUCAGGUCCAGCUGAGCUGUUGUGAAAUCUGAACAAUCAAUAUCAAUAAAACAUCCUGAUAUAUUGUACAGUUUAAAAGGCCUUUGAAUAUAAAAAUUCAAAUAGUGUACGAUUUUGUGUUUAGAUAUAUUUAAAAAGUGUUAAUACAUUAAAAAUAAGUAUGACUGUAUAAAAUUAAAUAGUUGUUACUGGCAUUGUGGAGUUUUGCUCUGAGAUGAUAGUUUUGUGCUAAAAAUGUUUUUGUUAUUUCUUUCUUUUUGUUAUUAGAUUUACUUUUAUUAUGGGCUCCUGGCCAAGGAGGGUGAAGAUUUAAUCCAGUCAAACAUAUAAAAAUUCAUUAUAUCAGAGGAUUUAAUAUAUUUUUGUAAUAUUAUCUGUGAUAAUCUGGGAUGAUUAUUAUAAUAUUAAAGAUUAGCAGAUAGGGGUGGGGAACUUCACGCUUUGACACACAUUGAUUUUUCCACACAUAUUUCCUAACUGGUGCAUGCAUUGUCUUUUUGUUUGUAGCUAUGCAAAUGCUUGAUUUUGCUAGUCAAAUUCUGUUUCCAUUUAAGAGUGAAUUGAAUUGGUCCUGUAUUUCUUUUUACAAGCAAGAAGAAUUUAGAAGAGAAUUUGACCUAUUUUGUAGAUCAACUGAAUAAAUCACUUUGAGUUUUCAUGUGAGAUGAUAGAAGUACUUGUGAUAUAAGAAGAUUCGCGUAAUACAAAAAGUGUUAGGAACUCACUUCAUCGUUUGGUAGAUAUUAUCUAAUAACUAACAUGACACUAUUUUCUGCUUGAACAAUAUUGCAUUAUAUGCCUUUGAAAAGAGAGAAAGGGUUGGAUGAAUAGGACUGUCCAUUUUAAAACAGAUUUUUAGCAUUGGAAGUUUUCUGAUUGAUUGCAGUAUGUCAAUAAUCCCAGAAUAUAAAUAACUCUUCGACCAGACUGACUUUAACCUCAUGCCCAAAGCUGUCUUUAUUUAUCAGAAUGGUACGCUUACUGACAGUUCAGUUGUCCUGAACAGGGUUGCUGACGUGAAUCUUUGGUGAUUUUCGUCAUGGCAAAUUGGAAGAUGUUUAUUGAUUGCUGUUAGUCACUCAGUUAGUCUUCCCACUCAACAUGAUGUUCACAUACAGCAGCAAUCAAUGGGGAAUUGUGUGCAAAUGUGCCGCCCAACCACACACACACAAAUGCGCACACUCUCAUUCACCAUGAAUAGAGCUUUUAUUUAUAGGCCUCCAGAUUGGGGUGAUGUCGUGGCCACGGAGAUGGCAUCACAGCGCUCCAGCAGCCCCGCCACACGGGACCAUUCUCAUGGGGGUGAUGUGGCUAUGAACCAUCUGAUCUAAUUGCCAUGGAGAAAGCAGCACAUGACCUUGAAUCAUGGAAAAUCACAGCUGAAUUACACAGAAUCCCACUGAGAAAAAAGAGAGAGGAUCAAGAUAACAGAGCUUAAAAAGAAAUAACAGAGGUAACCCAGAUGGUAAAAGGCACAGCUGGGUUUAUGAGGGUGCCCAGCUGGGGCUGAAUAUUAUUUGCCAAUGCAGACAAUGUUCCUGGAGCACCACUCGCCUUUAUUUUAUUACAGUAAAAAGUGAUGAUUCAAUAACAACAACUACAUUAGCUGGAUAUAUGUUUUCUUUUUAUUUCCUUUAGCCCUUGCAAACAUUGUGUGGACAGCAUUGUGUCCAAAGAAAACACUAGAAAAUAGUGAAGAAUUUCCAUUUUAUUUCUAUUUUUUUUAUACACUUCCAUUUAAAAGGUCAGUCAGUUUUUGUUUGUUUGUUUGUUUGUUUGUUUUUUGAAAGAAAUACUUUAACUUGGCAAGGAUGCAUUACAUUAAUAAAAAAGACUGUUUUCGAAUAUUACUGUUUUACUGUAUUUUUGAUUAAAUAAAAUGCAGUGUUGGUGAGCAAAAGAGACUUCUUUAAAAAUUAAUAUUCUAGUCUCUAGAUAUGGCUCAGUACAGCCUGUACAAUUUGAGGUAUAAUUCAUGUAUUAAGGGUUUGUGUAAAUCCCUAUGUAUAAUUAAAUGUUUAAGUAAUGUUUGGCUUAAUAAGCAAUCACCAGUAAUGUUUUUGUAUAGUAAUAGCAUUGGUAUUAGAAAACGAGAUCUCACAAUUUUCACACCAACGCCCCAACUCCACACGUGGCCACCAACCCUGAAAAGAGGCCACAGUAAAUCUCUUCAAUCAAGAGCUUAAAUGAGUGAUUUCUCCUCUGGGCUCAAUCUUCAAGCUUACAUGUUAUAUCACCAACAGCUCUUAUUCAGCAAAUUGAAGGAUUUUUCUUUUUACUGUGCCAUUUAUCCUAGAAAAAUUUCCACUAAAAGGAAAUAGUCAGAUUAGUGUAAUACAUUUUUCUUCCUUGUAAUUCAUAUUCUUGUCCUCACAUGAUAAUUAGUAUGAUGCAUAAGUGGUUUUGGUAUUAAAUUUGCAGCUAAGAUGAUCUCAUCAUUUAAGCUGUCAAUGUGCAGAUUUGUUUUUGAAUAGAAUGAUGACAGCAGUCUUUUCAUCAUUUUAUAAGAUUAUUAAAGAAAAGGUGAAUAAAAGCGUACAUUAUUAAAGGAUUAGUUUAAAGCUUGGUAUCGUUUAAAGCCCUUUGAAGCUGCACUGAAACUGUAAUUUUGACCUUUUGGGGCCAAUUGAAGUCCACUAUAAGGAGAAUAAUCCUGGAAUGUUUUCAUCAAAAACCUUAAUUUCUUUUCGACUGAAGAAAGAAGGACAUAAACAUCUUGGAUGACAUGGGGGUGAGUAAAUUAUCAGGAAAUUUUAAUUUGAAAGUGAACUAAUCCUUUAAGUAGAAUGGGAAUGGGUAUGGGACACAGAGAACCAUUUCAGACAAUGAGGUAUCACAACUUCUUUACAUACAGACCACAGCUGUUACAACAGGAGCAAUUUCAUUUACAUUAGGAGUGGUAAACUGUAACAGGAUAAAAGGUUUGAGAUUUGGAUGUUCUGGGUUCAUUCUGAUGCCUGGUGAAAUCAAGUUGCUUCAUGUACUUUGUCACUGCUAUGCUGCAAUAAACUUCUUCAUCAAGAUCUUCAAUGUCCUCAUAAUUUUUUCUUAGCCCGGGUAUAAUUGGAAACGUGCUGCGAGAAUGAACCUCAUUGGUUACGCAGCACGUUUGAGCUUCCGAAGGAGGUUUUUUCUCACGCGUUACUCAGGUUCAGUUGAGCUUCUGCUUAUGUUCGCUGAUCAAUGUUUAUAUGUGAGUAAAAGCCUAAAUUAAAUCUGUAAAAAAAAUAAGGUAAAAAAUAUAUACAAGAUAAAGAAGCAAAAUUUUAACUCAAAAAUAGAUUUCAAAAGAUAAAGGGAAAGAUGUGUGUGUACAUAUACAGCUCAGUGAAUUCAAGCGUGGUACCGUGAUAGUUUGCCACCUGUGCAAUAAGUCCAUUCGUGAAAUUUCCUCACUGCUAUAUAUUCCACGGUCAACUGUUAGUGGUAUUAUAACAAAGUGGAAGCAAUUGGGAACAACAGCAACUCAGCCACAAAGUGGUAGGCCACUUAAAAUCAUAGAGCGGGGUCAACGCAUGCUGAGGCGCACAGUGCACAGAAGUCACCAGCUUUCUGCAGAGUCAAUAGCUACAGACCUCCAAACUUUGUGUGGCCUUCAGAUUAGCUCAAGAACAGCGCAUAGAGAGCUUCAUGGAAUAGGUUUCCAUGGCCGAGCAGCUGCAUCCAAGCCUAACAUCACCAAGUGCAAUGCAAAGCGUCGGAUGCAGUGGUGUUAAGCAUGCCACCACUGGACUCUAGAGCAGUGGAGACGUGUUCUCUGGAGUGACGAAUCACGCUUCUCUGUCUGGCAAUCUAAUGGACGAGUCUGGGUUUGGCAGUUUGACGGUACUUGCCUGACUGCAUUGUGCCAAGUGUGGUGUGGGGUUGUUUUUCAAGGAUUGGGCUUGGCCCAAAGGAACUCUUAAUGCUUCAAUAUACCAAGACAUUUUGGACAAUUUCAUGCUCCCAACUUUGUGGGAACAGUUUAGGGAUGGCCCCUUCCUGCUCCAACAUGACUGCGCACCAGUACACAAAGCAAGGUCCAUAAAGACAUGGAUGAGCGAGGAACUUGACUGGCCUGCACAGAGUCCUGACCUCAACCCGACAGAACGCCUUCGGGAUGAAUUAGAGCGGAGACUGCGAGCCAGGCCUUCUCGCCAACAUCACUGCCUUACCUCACAAAUGCGAAAAAAAAUUCCCAUAAACACACUCCUAAACCUUGUGGAAAGUCUUCCCAGAAGAGUUGAAGCUGUUAUAGCUGCAAAGGGUGGGCCAACUCCAUAUUAAACCCAUGGAUUAAGAAUGGGAUGUCAUUAAAGUUCAUGUGCACGUAAAGGCAGGCGUUCCAAAACUUUUGGCAAUAUAGUGUAUAUAUAUAUAGUGUAUAUAACUAUAUAUAUAUAUAUAGUUUUUAAAUAACUUUUUCUGAAGUUAAGGUAUAGGCAUUUCAAUUUCAUCUUUAUUGCCAAAUGCAGUGCAGUGACUUGUUUUUUUUUUUUUGAAGGAAGUUACAGCAGAUUCAGUUGUUAAUUUCAUCAAUGCAAAUGCAACAAUUUGUUGUACGAUCAAGCACUGUUCACAUUAUUAAUAAAAAAAAUUGCUUGCAAAGAUUUUCCAUGUGUAUUUCAUGCUUUUAUGGAAGUUAUCACACUGUACUUGUGUUUGUUUGUUUGUGUGUGUGUGUGUCUGUGUGUGACAGAGAGUUUGUAUCUGUUUUAUGCAUGUUAUACUGUCUGUCUCAACUUAUUAGAGCUUAGCUGUGUGCGUGGAGAGGCAGACACUACAGCUAGAACAGUCUGUCCCAACUCUGUCCAGUUCACUGGGUUUCAUGCCAGAUUAUCCCUACACACGUUCAGCAUUAAUACAGUUUCACAUUACAGUGAUGCACAAAAUUUAUAGCCCAUGCUGUCAAGUACCUGGCAUCACUCUCAUGCAAUGAGUUAUUUAAACUGCAACUUCAUCAUUACAAAUAUGUAAUUACUAAUACAUUUAAUAAAUAUAAAAGAAAUUAUGAACUUACAUAAAAAGUGGAUCAAAAAGCACAUUCAGCUAAUUGUUUUAUAGUUUAAAUUUAUAUUAAGUGCAUUUAAUUUAAUUGCAGUUAACAUGCAAUUAAGUCUGAAAACAUUAUAUUGAGUUCGCACUUGGGAAUAUUCUUUUAAAGUAUAUUAUUUCCGAAAUAAAUACUCAUUUUAAAAGUAUGUUAAAGUGUACUUCUUUUUCAUAAGUGCAUUUGUUCUUGCACAUAUUAAAACUUGACGUAGAGGACAAUUUACUAAAGAAACUAUAUAUUUUAAGUGUUUAAAAACCUUUCCUUUAUAAUGUGGUUAAUGUCGGAACUGCUGACAAUUAUAGUUUCCAAAUUCCCUUUAAACAAAGAUUUGGAAAAGUGUCUAGAGAUCCUCCUCAGGGUUUCACCAGUGUGGCAGUCUGUGGAACCCCAAAUGAUGAUGUAUUUUCUCAUUUUUACAGUUGUAUUUGCAUUAUUCACUUUCAUUGAAUAGAAAAGAGCUGCGUCAACAUUCUGUUAAACUUUUCCUUUUGUUUUUCUCAGAAGAAAUUAAUAAGUGCAAGUUAAUAGUAUUUUAUUUUUGUAUUUUUUUUUUGUAAUGUAUAAUUUUAAUAUAAUUUUUUAGUGAAGUGCUUAUAUAAGAAAUAUGAUCAGAGAAGAAAUAUGAUCAGGGGACUCCACAGUUCCUGGGUGAGCCCUAUUUGAGACUAAACCUGCAACUAACCCAAGUGUUUACAUAUCAGAAUGAGGUGGAAUUGAAGUAUACAAAUUCCCUAGAGUAACUACAGAAAGACCGGCAUUAUAACCCUCCUUACCCACCCACCCCCCUUUUUAGAAGCACAAACAAGUUUUCAGACGAGCAGUGAACUCUGUCUCCAGCCAGUGGGAACAUUACAGGCAUGUGUGAAACGUCUCCUCUGUGUAAGCAAGCAGGGAGUAUUUGCAGACUUCUGAUCCCUUUGCUUGGACAUGAUCUUUUUCCCAUCCGGCUCGGCCAGCAUGUGCAGGUGUGUUUCAGCUCCCCUUGAGACUGUGAGAUUAAUGUGUUGUGCCAAAGUGUUGUUGGCAUUAUGUGCUAUCUGUUGUUGCUGUUCUAUGAUUGCUAAACAUUACAUCACGCUAAGUUUUGUAAGAUCUGUUGAAACUCUGUCCUGAAUGAAAAGAAAUGUUUGUAUAAGUUGGUGAAUAAAAUGCAUACAAAAAAUGCUAUUAUCACAAAUUUGACAAAAAACUUGAAUCACGGUCACCAAUAACAAAAAGUGAAAUAAAAAUGCAUUUGGUUUUGAAGUUUAGAAGAUAAACAAAAGAGGAAUAAACAGGAGGCAGGGGGAAUGGUAUGGCUCAGUUUUCGAGUAGGCUGGUUGUGGUGUUCUAAAGAGACCAACACCACUGUUCCACCUCCACAACACAGACCCCAUCCUCCUCUCUAUAUCGCCCUCCACUCAUCCUCAUCAUCUGUUCAUCACACCUCCCCUUGAAUCAUCUGUCACAUCACUCCUCCACACCCUAUGGCCUCAACUCUCUCUCAGAGCUGCUAGAACAUUCACUGGUGUGUGAGGGACAAUUCGCAUCUCAUUAACAUUGAUCAACACUGUACAAAAUGUUUGACACGGAACUUAAAUGUGCUUUAUUUCAUACCAUGUAUGUUAACUGACUUUAUUUUAAACUUUUUAAGGGUCAAUAUAGCAUUCAGAAGCCCCACUCUUUCAGUAUGUUGUUCCAACCUCAUAUGAAGAACACAAAACGAUAUUUGUAGAAUGUUCUGGCUGUGUUUGUCCGUACAAAAAGUGAAUGGGGACUGAGGUUGUUAAACUCCAAGACUGACAUUUAAAGGUAGGGUAGGCAAUUUCGGAGAGGCUAGCAAUAGCAAGCUAGCUUUGAAAGCAUGAGGUCCCACCCUCUCUUCAGAGCGUUCUCCAAAGCCAUGACUCCUUCAAAACACAUGAACUCACACAGACACAGCAGAGUCUGCAAAGCGUGACGAGAUGAGAGACGGCGUUAAAUUAUCUCAUGUCUCAAAGUACAUAACAUUGCAAUAAUAUUGAAUGUAAACAACUUGCAGAGCUCUUACUUGAACCACCUGACUGCUGCAGAUUAAUUUCGGCAUUGAUAGUGUAGCCAGAGAAAAGCAUAAAACUGAGUCUAAGGAAGUGAACAGCUUCGGGUAGAACGUCACGGGUAGCCAUCUCGUAAAUACAGUUAUACAACAUGGUGUGAAAGCAGCAUAAGCUUGUUGUUUUGGUUCAGGAGGAACUGUAAAAGGCAGCUGCUGUUUGUUUGUGGCACUCUGUGACUGUCUGUUUACAACUCUGCAUAGCCUAAUGGAACGUGCUGAUGACGUGUGAUGUCUGAGGACAGGGUGCCAGAGGUAUGGAAAUACAUGUUGACAGGCAGGUAGGACACCAUAUCAUUGCAUUUGGACCAAAUGCAAUGAUUGGCAGACAUAUUUUGGUCCUGAGACUUCCACAGAAGAUACAUGUACAUGUUUUAAUAUUCAGACCAUUUCUAUUAUUGAUUACUAUCAGGAUGUGAAGAGAGUUUAAACCAGUAUAACAAAAAGUAUAAACAAAAAACCUUUAAAGGGAUAGUUCACCCAAAAAAUGAAAAUUUGAUGUUUAUCUGCUUACCCCCAGGGCAUCCAAGAUGUAGGUGACUUUGUUUCUUCAGUAGAACACAAAUGAUGAUUUUUAACUCCAACCUUUGUGGUCUCUCAGUUGUAUAAUGCUUGUCAAUGGUAACUCCAUCUAUAAGAGUCAAAAAAACACGCACAGACAAAUCCAAAUUAAACCCUGCGGCUCGUGAUGACACAUUGAUGUCCUAAGACAUGAAACGAUCGGUUUGUGCGAGAAACCGAACAGUAUUUAUAACACCACUAUGUCCAACUGCCUUGCGCAUCCAGUUGGUGAGGUCUAAAAACGCAUUUUGAUGACGGAAGUGAUGUCUCGCGCUUAUACUUUAAUGAGUGCGAGACAUCACU
RNA transcript from Ctenopharyngodon idella (grass carp), 13228 nucleotides. It is a transcript of the gene named histone-lysine N-methyltransferase 2D-like, with no coding region annotated. The record is from RefSeq and is a predicted model, not a curated record. NCBI's taxonomy places the organism in Eukaryota, Metazoa, Chordata, Actinopteri, Cypriniformes, Xenocyprididae. The transcript has 2 exons.